GAGCCAGUAGCGUAUAGUGGUUUGAGUGUUGAACUAUGACUCUGGAGACCAGGGUUCGAUUCCCUGCUUGGCCA
Non-coding RNA from Phrynosoma platyrhinos (Desert horned lizard), 74 nucleotides. Lineage: Eukaryota; Metazoa; Chordata; Lepidosauria; Squamata; Phrynosomatidae. The record is from the annotation of a GenBank genome assembly.